RNAcentral lists this non-coding RNA (148 nucleotides) under Pan paniscus (pygmy chimpanzee). The record is from Rfam by way of RNAcentral. RNAcentral also lists the same sequence under 1 other name. Lineage: Eukaryota; Metazoa; Chordata; Mammalia; Primates; Hominidae.
GCUGGGCGUGGUGGUGCACGCCUGUAAUUUCAGCUACUUGGGAGGCUGAGGCAGGAGAAUUGCUCGAACCUGGGAGGUGGAGGUUGCAGUGAGCUGAGAUCCUGCCACUGCAUUCCAGCCUGGGUGACAGAGUAAGACUCUGUCUCAA